This 1244-nucleotide ribosomal RNA is filed under the name metagenome. Its description in RNAcentral is "bacterial LSU rRNA". It matches the Rfam family "Bacterial large subunit ribosomal RNA", at positions 1564 to 2817 of the family's 2925-position model. The record is from RNAcentral.
UGAAUACGAGAUGCUACGGCGUCGAAGCAGUGUAUGUCAGACUUCCAAGAAAAGCUCGCAAUGUCAUAAAUAAAGAAUGCCUGUACCAUAACCGACACAGGUGGGUAGGUAGAGUAUACUAAGGGGCGCGAGAUAACUCUCUCUAAGGAACUCGGCAAAAUAACUCCGUAACUUCGGGAGAAGGAGUGCCUUCUUUAAGAAGGUUGCAAUAACAAGAUCCAAGCAACUGUUUAUCAAAAACACAGGUCUCCGCUAAGUCGUAAGACGAUGUAUGGGGGCUGACGCCUGCCCAGUGCCAGAAGGUUAAAGAAGUUGGUUAGCUUUUGCGAAGCUGAUGACUGAAGCCCUGGUGAACGGCGGCCGUAACUAUAACGGUCCUAAGGUAGCGAAAUUCCUUGUCGGGUAAGUUCCGACCCGCACGAAAGGCGUAAUGAUUUGGAUACUGUCUCGGAGAGGGACUCGGUGAAAUAGACUUGUCUGUGAAGAUGCGGACUACCUGCACCAGGACAGAAAGACCCUAUGAAGCUUUACUGUAACUUGAAAUUGAAAUUGGACUUUAUUUGCGCAGUAUAGGUGGAAGGCGUUGAAAGUAAUCUUGCGGGAUUAGUGGAGCCAUCAGUGAGAUACCACUCCUAUAAUGUUAGAUUUCUAACUUUGGAUCAUGAUCUGGUCAUAGAACAGUUUCAGGCGGGCAGUUUGACUGGGGCGGUCGCCUCCCAAAUGGUAACGGAGGCGUACAAAGGUUUCCUCUGAACGGGUAGAAAUCGUAUCUAGAGUGUAAAGGCAUAAGGAAGCUUGACUGUGAGACCUACAAGUCGAGCAGGGACGAAAGUCGGUCUUAGUGAUCUGACGGUGCUGAGUGGAAAGGCCGUCACUCAACGGAUAAAAGUUACUCUAGGAUAACAGGCUGAUCUCCCCCAAGAGUUCACAUCGACGGGGAGGUUUGGCACCUCGAUGUCGGCUCAUCGCAUCCUGGGGCGGUAGUACGUCCCAAGGGUUGGGCUGUUCGCCCAUGAAAGCGGUACGCGAGCUGGGUUCAGAACGUCGUGAGACAGUUCGGUCCAUAUCCGGUGUAGGCGUUAGAAUAUUGAGAGGAGCCUUCUUUAGUACGAGAGGACCGAGAAGGACAUACCUCUGGUGUACCAGUUAUCGUGCCAACGGUAAACGCUGGGUAGCUAUGUAUGGAGAGGAUAACCGCUGAAAGCAUCUAAGUGGGAAGCCCACCUCAAGAUGAGUAUUCUCAU